AACCUCCGCAAUGUGAGAAAUCGCGACGGGGGGAUCCCAAGUGCCAUUCUUAACGGGAUGGCUUUUCAUUAGUGUAAAGAGCUUUUGGAAUAAGGGCUGGGCAAGACCGGUGCCAGCCGCCGCGGUAACACCGGCAGCUCUAGUGGUAGCAGUUUUUAUUGGGCCUAAAGCGUCCGUAGCCGGUUUAAUAAGUCUCUGGUGAAAUCCUGUAGCUUAACUGUGGGAAUUGCUGGAGGUACUAUUAGACUUGAGACCGGGAGAGGUUAGAGGUACUUCCAGGGUAGAGGUGAAAUUCUGUAGUCCUGGGAGGACCGCCUGUUGCGAAGGCGUCUAACUGGAACGGUUCUGACGGUGAGGGACGAAAGUUAGGGGCGCGAACCGGAUUAGAUACCCGGGUAGUCCUAACUGUAAACGAUGCGGACUUGGUGUUGGGGUGGCUUUGAGCUGCUCCAGUGCCGAAGGGAAGCUGUUAAGUCCGCCGCCUGGGAAGUACGGUCGCAAGACUGAAACUUAAAGGAAGU
This 521-nucleotide ribosomal RNA is filed under the name uncultured bacterium. Its description in RNAcentral is "bacterial SSU rRNA". It matches the Rfam family "Archaeal small subunit ribosomal RNA", at positions 345 to 866 of the family's 1478-position model. The record is from RNAcentral.